AGUGGCGGACGGGUGAGUAACACGUGAGAAUUUGCCUUUAGGAAGGGGAUAACAAUUGGAAACAAAUGCUAAUACCCCAUAUGCUUUUGAGUGAAAUGGAUUUAUCCGCCUAGAGAGAAGCUCGCGGCUGAUUAGCUUGUUGGUAAGGUAAGAGCUUACCAAGGCGACGAUCAGUAUCUGGUUUGAGAGGACGAUCAGACACACUGGAACUGAGACACGGUCCAGACUCCUACGGGAGGCAGCAGUGGGGAAUUUUCCGCAAUGGGCGAAAGCCUGACGGAGCAAUACCGCGUGAGGGAAGACUGCCUAUGGGUUGUAAACCUCUUUUUUCAGGGAGGAAUAAAAUGACGUGUACCUGAAGAAUAAGCAUCGGCUAACUCCGUGCCAGCAGCCGCGGUAAGACGGAGGAUGCAAGUGUUAUCCGGAAUCACUGGGCGUAAAGCGUCUGUAGGUUGUUUAAUAAGUCAACUGUUAAAGCUUGAGGCUCAACUUCAAAAUCGCAGUCGAAACUAUUAGACUAGAGUAUAGUAGAGGUAAAGGGAAUUUCCAGUGGAGCGGUGAAAUGCGUAGAUAUUGGAAAGAACACCGAUUGCGAAAGCACUUUACUGGGCUAUUACUAACACUCAGAGACGAAAGCUAGGGUAGCAAAUGGGAUUAGAUACCCCAGUAGUCCUAGCCGUAAGCAAUGGUUACUAGAUGU
RNAcentral lists this ribosomal RNA (700 nucleotides) under uncultured bacterium. Its description in RNAcentral is "bacterial SSU rRNA". It matches the Rfam family "Bacterial small subunit ribosomal RNA", at positions 94 to 823 of the family's 1533-position model. The record is from RNAcentral.